GUACCUAUAGCUCAGCUGGAUAGAGCAUCAGACUCCGACUCUGAAGGCCGACAGUUCAAAUCUGUCUAGGUACACCA
Molecule: transfer RNA, 77 nt
Filed under: Clostridia bacterium
Lineage: Bacteria; Bacillati; Bacillota; Clostridia
Description: tRNA-Arg
Rfam family: tRNA
About the family: Transfer RNA (tRNA) molecules are approximately 80 nucleotides in length. Their secondary structure includes four short double-helical elements and three loops (D, anti-codon, and T loops).
Source: RNAcentral